GAUGAACGCUGGCGGCGUGCCUAAUACAUGCAAGUCGAGCGAACGGACGAGAAGCUUGCUUCUCUGAUGUUAGCAGCGGACGGGUGAGUAACACGUGGAUAACCUACCUAUAAGACUGGGAUAACUUCGGGAAACCGGAGCUAAUACCGGAUGAUAUUUUGAACCGCAUGGUUCAAAAGUGAAAGACGGUCUUGCUGUCACUUAUAGAUGGAUCCGCGCUGCAUUAGCUAGUUGGUAAGGUAACGGCUUACCAAGGCAACGAUGCAUAGCCGACCUGAGAGGGUGAUCGGCCACACUGGAACUGAGACACGGUCCAGGCUCCUACGGGAGGCAGCAGUAGGGAAUCUUCCGCAAUGGGCGAAAGCCUGACGGAGCAACGCCGCGUGAGUGAUGAAGGUCUUCGGAUCGUAAAACUCUGUUAUUAGGGAAGAACAUAUGUGUAAGUAACUGUGCACAUCUUGACGGUACCUAAUCAGAAAGCCACGGCUAACUACGUG
This 497-nucleotide ribosomal RNA is filed under the name uncultured bacterium. RNAcentral describes it as "partial 16S ribosomal RNA". It matches the Rfam family "Bacterial small subunit ribosomal RNA", at positions 28 to 507 of the family's 1533-position model. The record is from RNAcentral.